This 29-nucleotide non-coding RNA is filed under the name Mus musculus (house mouse). Lineage: Eukaryota; Metazoa; Chordata; Mammalia; Rodentia; Muridae. The record is from RNAcentral.
GCCCUAUGAGAAAGGUUUGAACCUGAGCC